RNAcentral lists this ribosomal RNA (251 nucleotides) under uncultured Burkholderiales bacterium. RNAcentral describes it as "partial 16S ribosomal RNA". It matches the Rfam family "Bacterial small subunit ribosomal RNA", at positions 552 to 802 of the family's 1533-position model. The record is from RNAcentral. Lineage: Bacteria; Pseudomonadati; Pseudomonadota; Betaproteobacteria; Burkholderiales.
UACUGGGCGUAAAGCGUGCGCAGGCGGUUUUGUAAGACAGUGGUGAAAUCCCCGGGCUCAACCUGGGAACUGCCAUUGUGACUGCAAGGCUAGAGUGCGGCAGAGGGGGAUGGAAUUCCGCGUGUAGCAGUGAAAUGCGUAGAUAUGCGGAGGAACACCGAUGGCGAAGGCAAUCCCCUGGGCCUGCACUGACGCUCAUGCACGAAAGCGUGGGGAGCAAACAGGAUUAGAUACCCUGGUAGUCAAGGGCG